GUGCCUGGGCAGCAGAGUGAGUAAGGUGCCUUCUUACCCCCCCCCCCCCAAGGUGGGAGGUGAACUCUGCAGAUGCAUCUCUGAACUCUAGACUACUGCAGGAGCUCAACUGUGCAGUCACUUAGCAACAGACAUUGCAGUUACAAAACUACUAAAACUUAUCCACAGCUAUACCACAUGAAGCUAUGAGGCAAUCCUGUCAGAUGUCUUAAGGAAGUCCAACAGACUGAAAGUUUCCUGUUGAAGAGAGGUGUGUGACUGAAUUUCAGGCCAUUCAUUUGAAGCGACUCUAAAACAAAUAUUUUUCUGAACUUUGAAUACCAGAAUCAGAAAAAAAAAAUGUUUAUAAACAUACACUGACGUUAUUGAUGACAUACUUGGCUCAAAUAACAAAAGCUUAUCAGCAUAGAGGGGCUCGAAAGUAGUAUUUGUAAAUGCCUAAUAUGUGUGUAAGUGAGCAAUUUCCUGUAAAUCAAUGUACCCUACUUUAGAUUUCAGCUUAAUGGCGAACCUGACCUUGAAAACAAGUGACACAAUUACUUUUGAUCUCUUUAUGAAAAAUACCACAUACCUUUUGCUAUUUUCUCUUCUCCUUCUAGCAGAAAAUUUGUAGUCCUAAUAAGCCUCAAUUAAAUUAAAUGAGCAAUAUAAAUCUGGAAUACCUAAAUGUAUAACCAGGGAACAAAAACUGAGUCCUUGAACGUUCUUUAUUAAAGGAUGUCCCUUAAUAAACAGAUAACUACAAAUGCUAUAGCUGAUGACCCAAGAGUGAAAGGGGGCCUUGUUUUUUACUGUUUCAAGAGUGGCCUAUUCUGGUCAUUAAGAAGAGGGAAAGUAAACAUAGGAAGCAUAUUGAUUUAGGGAACAAACAUCUAUCAACCAACCAACCAAAGAGAAAAAGCACAUUCAUAUUCAGCCGUAAUAUCACAGAUGACAGGCUGGUGGUGUUUGCAUUUUCUACAUGUCUAGUAUUAGGAGCGUUUUAAUGGGCAAGAUCCUCAACUGAUGUAAAUAAACAUCACUGUAUUCGAAGUCACUGGAUUCAUACCAAACUACAUCAUACUGAGGAUAUGGCCAUAUCUUCUUCAUAUUUGUCAUUUAAAAUGUAUCAUGAUAAACAGAAACCUAUAUUUACUGUACCCAUUUUAAGUGGGUUUAACCCUAUUGCUGAAUUAGGUUCCAAGCUCCAUCUUGCAUUUAAUUUCCAAAUCAACAUUUAAUUCUAAUGCACCUACACUGUCUAGCCGAAAAUUGUACGUAGAGCGCGUAGAUUCAUUUUAUUGUAUCUUACCAAUACAGUUCAUGCUGUGCCAUUUCCUAUAAAGUUAAGGGAAUGAAAAUCUGUAUUGCCACAAAGAGGCAGCCUUCAAAGAUGUGGUUCAACAAAUGGUUUCUCUUUUAUAAAGAACUGUAAGCAAACAAAAACUGUUGUAUCUCUCCCUCAAAGACAUCAGAUUACCAGGAUGUCUUUCAAAGAGCUGUCCCAUUGGCUCAGCUGGCAACUAUAUUUGCCAGGUGACGUAGGUUAAUAUGUAACCCUCUGCUCAUUGAACUAGUACUGUUUGCAAACCUUUGCUCCGAUAGAAGAGAUCUUGGUUCUGGUUUCACAUGUGAUAUGAAUUUGUAAAUGAAGGGAAGAGAAAGAGUCUUCAUUUUAGUAUUGUACAUGGGUAAUGGAAAAGAUUGUCACCACUGUAUAGGAGACCUAAGUUAAUAGGCAUCUUCAGGAAUCCACCUCCAUUAUUAGUGAAGAAGUGUUACAGAGAAGAGAAACCUCUUACUCUGUGCACAAGAGGAUAUAUAAAGAGACAAGAUUUUGUCAUUGUCCUUCCAAAUACAGCGUAAUUACAGAGAGCGAGCGAGAGAGUGAGCGGGCACCUCAUGUAUCUAAAGCACUGGUGGAGUUAAGGGGAGGUAAAAGUUAAAAUUAGUAUGUUAGAGCAGGCAACUGGGAGCCAGGACUGCAGAGUUCUAUUCCUAGCUGUGAUUUUGAGCAAGUCCUAUAACCUGUCUAUGUCUCAGUUUAUUCAUUAGUAAAAUGAAUAUUAGUACGUACUUACCCUACAAGGUUUUGUCUUGUGAGAGCCUCCUAGUCUGUUAAUAUUUCUCUGAGGAGAGAGGAUAUCAAAGCAUUUUACAAACAGAAACUAACUAAGGUAAAGUAGAUACAGUAUUCUAGGUGUGAUCUGACCAGUCUCUCUUUCAUUAAUACUGGGCUUCAAGAGACCAAUAUCAAACCGGGUACAAUUUAAACUGGCACAACUAUUGACUUCAGUGAACUUGCAAUAAUUUACACCAAGUCUGAAUGGGUCAUGUUAUAGUCCUGAUCUUGAAAACAUUGGCACACAUAAGUAACUAGGACCGUAAGCAUAUAGGAACUCAGUAGGACUACUCUUCUUGAUAAAUAUUUGCAGGAUUGGGGGCCUAUAUUUUGCUGUUUGAAUAUUAAUAAUACUGCAAGUGACUAUUACAGCAUUUAACUGAAAUAUCCACUGUUUCUAAUUUUACUAUCUUUG
Molecule: long non-coding RNA, 2516 nt
Organism: Mauremys reevesii (Reeves's turtle)
Lineage: Eukaryota; Metazoa; Chordata; Testudines; Geoemydidae
Exons: 3
Source: RefSeq, a predicted model, not a curated record